CCUACGGGAGGCAGCAGUGGGGAAUUUUGGGCAAUGGGCGAAAGCCAGACCCAGCAACGCCGCGUGAAGGAUGAUGUAUUUCGGUAUGUAAACUUCGAAAGAAUAGGAAGAAUUAAUGACGGUACUACUUAUAAGGUCCGGCUAACUACGUGCCAGCAGCCGCGGUAAUA
Molecule: ribosomal RNA, 170 nt
Filed under: uncultured Acidobacteriota bacterium
Lineage: Bacteria; Pseudomonadati; Acidobacteriota
Description: uncultured Acidobacteria bacterium partial 16S ribosomal RNA
Rfam family: Bacterial small subunit ribosomal RNA
Source: RNAcentral